RNAcentral lists this long non-coding RNA (888 nucleotides) under Anas platyrhynchos platyrhynchos (common mallard). RNAcentral describes it as "lncRNA (ENSAPLG00000030006.1)". Lineage: Eukaryota; Metazoa; Chordata; Aves; Anseriformes; Anatidae. The record is from RNAcentral.
CGAUCCCAAAACUAACAGCUGGGCACUCAAGCUAUUUGGUAAGAUAGUGUCGAUGUGAAAGAAAAAAAAAUAAUCCCCUUUUCAGGCAGAAGCCAGCUUCGGUUUCAGAAGAGUACAGGCCAUGGAGCUUGGAUCAGUUCACAGGGGAGAGAAGACAGCGCAGGGAGAGGACAGCCAACUCCAGCAGGAGCUGAGGCCUUUCUGAGCAGAGGCCACAGCCCUCACAGCUCCCCCCCAGCCUCCUCAGCAGCCCACAGCAGUGAUGAACGCUGUCCUCCUUCUCCUCCUCUCCAGAAGAUGCUCCGCGUGCAGCCCCAGAGACCACGCUCCCAGGGCCGUGUUUGCCUCCAGUGAGUACGUGUAUGCGAUUUCUUGUCAAGAGACCGUGCCAUGCGCUAUGCAGAUGACAAGAGACUAGCUAGGAGCACCGAGAGCCCAACCCGUUCCACACACACCUCAUGAAGUUGAGCUGAGGCUUUUCAAUACAGGGAGAAUAACGUAGUCAACCCUGUGUUCCUGCAGUCAGGUGAAGAGGAAGGUUCAUCUGGGAAGAAUAUUUAGUCCAAAACAAAAACCAAACCCUUAAACGGAAGGCAUCUUCCUAUAUGUAUCGCAGUCAGUAUCACGGUUUAGAGGAACUCAAAAUCCUUCCGAGAGCCCUUUGAGUCUCACUUAUGGGGACUUGGGCUCCGUAUGACAUGAAACUGCACUGUCUGCAUCAGGAUAAGAAAUAGUUUAAGUCAUUAAAGCUAUUCAGGAUACACACCAUUCACUUAAUGCCACUGAUACCUGAUUUCAUACCUCACUGCUUGUCGUUUCUGGUCUGUAAAAUCCAGUGCUCUGGUAGAUGGGAAUUCCUAUCCCUAGAAUAGGAAAUACUGUUUUCCA